Long non-coding RNA from Gavialis gangeticus (Gharial), 1501 nucleotides. RefSeq lists it as uncharacterized. The record is from RefSeq and is a predicted model, not a curated record. The transcript has 2 exons. Lineage: Eukaryota; Metazoa; Chordata; Crocodylia; Gavialidae.
UGCCCCUGAGCUAAAGCCAAAUGUCAGAUUUCUGCCAUUAUUGUAGGUGACUAGCUCUGAAGGGCAGGGACACUUCUCAGAGGAGCCCAAGAUAGAAGGAGAGGAGUGGUGCUAUGCAGCAUUCUCUUGGUUCCUUCUCCCUUCGGGAGAAUAAGGAACCCUUCACUGCAGAAUACUCUUAAAAUCUGAGGGCAAAGCAAGCUGGAGGCUGCUGAAAACAUUUUGAAAGCAGGACUGGAACUUAAAAUGAUCUUGAGAAGCAAUCUGACAUGCACAAGAUAACAUUCAGCAAAGGCAAGUGCAAAGUGCCACACAGAAGCCAGAUACAAAAUGGGGAAUAGCUGGCUUUUCUACAGAAAAGGCAGGCAGCUGAAAUGCACUGGGAACUGAACAGCAGCCAGGUACCAGUGCUGUGGCAAGGAAGACAUGAUCAUUCAGGGGUGUAGUUACAGGAACAUCACAUGUGAGAUCAAUGGUUCUCCAAGUCCACUGAAGGUGGGGCAAGAAGUACUUGAUUAACCCUCAUGCUGCAAACUACUGGGUGAGAUAUUAGGAAAAAACUUACAAACUUUAAAAAUCCCUGGGCACCAGAACAGUUUAGCGAAGGAGAAAGUUUUAAAGAAGAGAUUAGACUGCAAAUGCUAUAAAGCCAAGCUGCAAAGCCAAACCCUCAGAGGUUAGAAAGUGACCAAAUUAAUCACUUGUCCAACCUUAAUUUGGCCCUCUUGUGCAUGUGUAUCAUGACAGAUUAAUUAAUUACAUGUUCUUAUAGUGUUUUCUAUCCAGGCUUCUAGCCUUACCCAAUGCACAGGAUGGACAGCGCUCUCAUAAUAAGCAAGUAUUCAGCAUUUUGUUUUCUCCCCAUAACUCAGUAUGUGACUUUAGACCUUCUUUACUGCACACUGUUCAAACUCUGCUCUAAAGACAAAAUUAUUAAUUUCCUCACAGGUUUUCCUCAGUCAAUCUGCACUAUGGUCUCCAAUUGCCUCACAAACAUUAAUGAACUUGCCUUGGCAAUGCCCCUGUGUGGUGACGGAGUGGCAGUAUUGUCACUAUUUCACAGGAACAGAAGCUGGACUAGAAGCCAGUUAUCUGAGAGACAUCAAUUACCUUUCUUUUGAGAUCUUCUGUUCUCUUCCCACAAUCCCCUGCCUCAUUCAAUGGACACCUGACUUCUGCAGCCAAUGAAGCAAGACCCCUACAGACAACAUCUACCCCCCACAGAAAGUCCAUCAUGUGCACUGAAGAGUCUGAGGUCUUGUAGCCAAGAUGGGCAGUGAUCAUACAAGGAAAGGCUAUAUUGUUAUGCAUACACCCAGGAGAAUGGAUUUCAGGUUUCACAAACAAGCUUAGUUCUGCCAAUUCUCAGCUAUGGAGUUUUUCAGCUACAACCCAAAUCAGUUGAACAAUGUCUUACAUCCAGUUUUCUAGGUUUUAUUAUCAUCAGUAACAACAAUAACAACAACAAUAACCAUAACAAUAAUAAAAGCAAUCAGAAAAA